This 49-nucleotide transfer RNA is filed under the name Hopliancistrus tricornis. RNAcentral describes it as "partial transfer RNA-Phe". Lineage: Eukaryota; Metazoa; Chordata; Actinopteri; Siluriformes; Loricariidae. The record is from RNAcentral.
GCCAGUGUAGCUUAAAUAAAGUAUGACACUGAAGAUGUCAAGAUGAACC